UACGGGGGGGGCAAGCGUUGUUCGGAAUUACUGGGCGUAAAGGGCUCGUAGGUGGCCAACUAAGUCAGACGUGAAAUCCCUCGGCUUAACCGGGGAACUGCGUCUGAUACUGGAUGGCUUGAGUUCGGGAGAGGGAUGCGGAAUUCCAGGUGUAGCGGUGAAAUGCGUAGAUAUCUGGAGGAACACCCGUGGCGAAGGCGGCUCCCUGGUCCGUCCCUGACGCUGAGACGCGAAAGCGCGGGGAACGAA
Molecule: ribosomal RNA, 249 nt
Filed under: uncultured prokaryote
Description: partial 16S ribosomal RNA
Rfam family: Bacterial small subunit ribosomal RNA
Source: RNAcentral